Molecule: long non-coding RNA, 238 nt
Filed under: Gorilla gorilla gorilla (western lowland gorilla)
Lineage: Eukaryota; Metazoa; Chordata; Mammalia; Primates; Hominidae
Description: lncRNA (ENSGGOG00000044266.1)
Source: RNAcentral
CAGAGGAACCACCCACAGAUGGCUUUGGGUUAUGUUUGCGUUUUACUUGCCAGCCCAGACUCUUGGGCUCAUGCCCAAGUUCCAGCUCAGGGGGACACCAACAAAGAAAAAAAGUUUCAGAGAGAAAGAGGCGUUUGUAUUGAUUCAAGAGGAUUGAAUCAGGUGGAUUUUCCAUUUAGAAAGCAAAAGAAAAUCAAGACUUCAGCAUUGUGUUUAAAAUGAUGAAGGCAGCCGGGGG